Molecule: ribosomal RNA, 871 nt
Filed under: uncultured soil bacterium
Lineage: Bacteria
Description: bacterial SSU rRNA
Rfam family: Bacterial small subunit ribosomal RNA
Source: RNAcentral
UGCAGCUCGAACGCGAAGAACCCGACAUGGGGUUGGUAGCGUGGCAAACGGGUGAGUAACGCGUGGGCGACCUACCUUCGAGUGGGGGAUAACCUUCCGAAAGGAGGGCUAAUACCGCAUGACAUCCCGUGUUUGGAUACACGGAGAUCAAAGCCGGGGAUCGCAAGACCUGGCGCUUGAAGAGGGGCCCGCGUCCGAUUAGCUAGUUGGCGAGGUAACGGCUCACCAAGGCUCCGAUCGGUAUCCGGCCUGAGAGGGCGGACGGACACACUGGAACUGAGACACGGUCCAGACUCCUACGGGAGGCAGCAGUGGGGAAUUGCUCGCAAUGGGCGCAAGCCUGACGACGCAACGCCGCGUGGUGGAUGAAGACCUUCGGGUCGUAAACUCCUUUCGACCGAGAUGAAGAGGCGCCGGCCUAACACGCCGGCGUCCUGACAGUAUCGAGGGAAGCAGCCCCGGCUAACUCCGUGCCAGCAGCCGCGGUAAUACGGGGGGGGCAAGCGUUGUUCGGAAUUACUGGGCGUAAAGGGUUUGUAGGUGGCCGACUAAGUCAGACGUGAAAUCCCUCAGCUUAACUGGGGAACUGCGUCUGGGACUGGUGGGCUUGAGGGCCGGAGAGGAACGCGGAAUUCCAGGUGUAGCGGUGAAAUGCGUAGAUAUCUGGAGGAACACCGGUGGCGAAGGCGGCGUUCUGGACGGCAUCUGACACUGAGAAACGAAAGCCAGGGGAGCAAACGGGAUUAGAUACCCCGGUAGUCCUGGCCCUAAACGAUGAAUGCUUGGUGUGGCGGGGUAUCGAUCCCUGCCGUGCCGAAGUUAACGCAUUAANCAUUCCGCCUGGGGAGUACGGUCGCAAGGCUGAAACUCA